CUACACAAGCACGUGGAAGUCAUCUUUGUCUCAGUCACAGUGCCAUUCAGAAAAGACCUCUGAUACCUCAAGCAUGACGGACCCUCUCUGAGUGUGCAUGGAUGAGAGGUUUGGGGUAGAGUAAUGACACGCCAGCUACAAGGUUUGGAAAUCACCUCUGGUUCCAUGGAAUGGUUUACAUCAGGAUUCCAAAGGCCCACUUCCACAACCCCAAACAGGAUAAGGAGCUCUCUUCCGCUCGCUGUGGGGAAGCAUAUCCAUAUCCACGGGUCAGCUUUCCCAAGCAAAACUCCUAAUGGAAAGGCAACGCUCCGGCGAGGAUCACUCCACGCUUCCAUGGACCUAUGCACUUCCAACAGUUUAAACACUCUGCUUAUAGCUCGCGGGGUCCAGUGCGUCCUGGUCCAGAGGCCCUGCGGUGGCUGGCAGGGGUCCCCUCAGAGGGAGGAGAGGCGGAGGUGGAGGUCUCAGAGCUGCGAUGGAGGAAGGGAAGAGGAGAGAGAGAGAGCGCAACCUCUGAGAGCUGCCUGGGGGACAAACGAGUG
This is a long non-coding RNA of Alosa alosa (allis shad), 545 nucleotides long. RefSeq lists it as uncharacterized. NCBI's taxonomy places the organism in Eukaryota, Metazoa, Chordata, Actinopteri, Clupeiformes, Clupeidae. The transcript has 4 exons. The record is from RefSeq and is a predicted model, not a curated record.